AUGUUUGUUUCACAUUCUCCCAUGAGGUUCUCUUCAGGCCUCACUGUUAUAAAAAACUACACUACAAAAAGAAGUAACGAAAUAUUAAAACACGAAGGCAAGCAUGACCAUAAGCAGAGACAACAAGUCACAAGGGUGCUUUUAUCCUUCCUUUCUUGGCAGAGGACCGAGUGCCUGUGUUUGAUCAGUAACACAAAUAAGUUAACCAGCUGCUCUUCCACUAGCAUGAAGGACUUGGGCUCCGAUCCUUCCCAAGAAUUAAGCUGCCAUUCAGCACAUCCCUUAGUGUUUUGGGAAUUUACAUUAAUAUUAAGAUGUUUAUAAAGAUACCACGUACACCAGAGGUAAAACACUUAUGAGGAAAUAUGAGAAGUCUGUCAGCCUUGUGUUUACAACAGCACCCCUCCAGCAAUCAACAUUAGCAUGCAGGACAAGAGCUUCACACUGCCCUAAAGGUACCAUGUCUAAAAACCAAGCAGCAGAUUUUCUGAGUUAAUGUAGUUCCAAGAAGUUAGAGGUUCUGACAUUCAAGCUAUUUCAUGAAAUUCAAUUUCCUCCUAUACAAGAGUCAGAAAAAUCAUUGGGCAUUAUUAAGCAGUGAGCAAUUUGCAAGACUCAUAGACAGGCCACAGUUCAAGUUUUUUUC
RNAcentral lists this long non-coding RNA (646 nucleotides) under Coturnix japonica (Japanese quail). RNAcentral's name for it is "lncRNA (ENSCJPG00005010373.1)". Lineage: Eukaryota; Metazoa; Chordata; Aves; Galliformes; Phasianidae. The record is from RNAcentral.